GAUGAACGCUAGCGGCAGGCUUCAUACAUGCAAGUCGAGGGGCAGCAUAAAUUACUUGUAAUUUGAUGGCGACCGGCGAACGGGUGCGUAACGCGUAUGCAACUUACCUUUUACUAGAGAAUAGCCAAGAGAAAUUUUGAUUAAUGCUCUAUACACUUAUUAAUUCUCAUGAAUCUAUAAGAAAAGCUCCGGCGGUAAAAGAUGGGCAUGCGUCCUAUUAGCUUGUAGGUGAGGUAACGGCUCACCUAAGCUCCGAUAGGUAGGGGUCCUGAGAGGGAGAUCCCCCACACUGGUACUGAGACACGGACCAGACUCCUACGGGAGGCAGCAGUGAGGAAUAUUGGACAAUGGACGAAAGUCUGAUCCAGCUAUGCCGCGUGCAGGAUGACGGCCCUAUGGGUUGUAAACUGCUUUUAUACAGGAAGAAAAACUCCGACGUGUCGGAGCUUGACGGUACUGUAAGAAUAAGGAUCGGCUAACUCCGUGCCAGCCGCCGC
RNAcentral lists this ribosomal RNA (497 nucleotides) under uncultured bacterium. Its description in RNAcentral is "bacterial SSU rRNA". It matches the Rfam family "Bacterial small subunit ribosomal RNA", at positions 28 to 518 of the family's 1533-position model. The record is from RNAcentral.